CCCCACCAGAGCCAAUCAUGCUUCCCGAUGACCCAUCAAGGCUCCCUUCUCUCUGGGACAUAUAUCGAUGCUUUAACCACUGCCUGGAAUAAGAUCAAAUCCUCGUCUCCCUUGGUGAGCCACUUCAAGUGGGACCCCAGUGGAACUGCUCCUGCCAGUCAAGAUAAGUCUUCUCUGAAUUCAGUAAGACACAACAGACACUUUAAGAGACGAGAAAUAUGCAGACUUGCAAGUGACUCCCAAGUGACAAAGAAGCCAUUACCUGAGUGACGUUAUCAUCGUUGGCACUGUUGAAACGCUGCAGCUGCACGUCCCCGUAACUUCGGGUGCUGUGCUCCAGGGCAGCAUGCUGUUGUUCUGGGGCACUAAAGCUGUUGGGGUAGUAAUUUGGAGCACCGCCUUUAAAGGAAAAACAGGAAGAUUCACUUAGGAAGAGGAAAAAUGAAGUCUGCAAAUAACCAAUGUAAUAAAUAAAUUCAAGUGACAAUCUCAUAUAUAUAUAUACACACACACAUAUACACACACACAUAUAUAUAUACACAUAUAGCAUACAUAACACUAUACACCAAAAUACACACACAUACAUUUAGUUACAAGCAGAAUGAAGAUUCUUAGAUAGCACUGUCAUCUUCUGAUUGGGCUGUCUCAUCCUGGUGCUUAAUGAGGAGAUCGCAAAUUCCACUUGAACACUUAAAAUGAUGCAAUCUAUAAAAUCUUCUGAUUCUUACCAGCACAAAGGUAAAUGUUUAAAGGUUUGAUUUGGCCACCAUACAAUAUGAAACCCAAGGACAUAUUUCAAAUUUCCAGGUUUCGUUUGGGCUUGGGCUCAACUCAAACACUGGACACCGAGUUCUUGGAAUCAACCAUGAGCUGCUGGCUCUGCCCCCUCAGUUUACAGACACAGAAAUCGAGCCUGAGGUGUCAACUUACUGUUGCAGGGUCACGCAGUUACUCAGUGGUAGAUCUGAGACUAGAAUGCUGGUACUUUCAUCUCUUCUGGAACUCUACUUCUCUCUUCCUUAAAUGUGUUUAAGAUUCUCAGGAUAGCUCUCCUUUAGUGACUGAUGACUUCAUUCAAUUCCACCUUCACUUUCCUCUCCCUCCACAGACGAAUUACAAAGGGAUUUUUUUAACUUGAUAUUUCUAAUUAUGUCAGCUCUCAUUUCCAGAGACAAAUAGAAUCUAAACAUUUUUAUGACUUCUGGCAUAAAUUAUGAGAAUUCUUUUUUUAUUUUGGCAGACGUAUUUUCCCAACUAUGCUUUGCGUAGGCUGAUACUAGCAUACACUUAAAUUAGAAGAAGUGGCCUAGUGUUUUCUAUAUUAAGAAUUAGCUUUGUGAAAUGUGCCUAUUUGAAUAAUUAAAAAAUUCUAUUUCCAAAUAAACUCUGACUUUUAGUCAAAGUGGGGGUUUUCUUUACAUCAGUGACUACUGGAAACAAUCACACUCUUCUUUCAUCAAGCUUCAAGAGCCCAGCUUACGUCAGUGACUACUGGAAACAAUCACGCUCUUCUUUCAUCAAGCUUCAAGAGCCCAGCCCAAAUCUCUACUGUUAAAAUUAGGCAAAGGGUAUGUCAAAAUACAUGCUGACAUAGUUUUUUCAUACCUAAUCACUAUAAUGGUAAACAAGAAUCAAGCAAUUACUUCUUAAUGAAUUCUGAAACCUAAAUGAACCUUUCUGCUAAAGCCAGUUUCAAUAACGAAAGAACUGAGGAAUGUGAAUGAAAACAAGAAUUGAAGAAUAAAAAUGCCAGGUAAAAUGCAAAAGCCAGACACAGGAAGUACCAAUUAUACCCUAUGCUUUUGUAAACUUCAGAGAGCAGAAAUACUGCAACUUCCUAAU
Long non-coding RNA from Choloepus didactylus (southern two-toed sloth), 1842 nucleotides. RefSeq lists it as uncharacterized. Lineage: Eukaryota; Metazoa; Chordata; Mammalia; Pilosa; Megalonychidae. The transcript has 3 exons. The record is from RefSeq and is a predicted model, not a curated record.